Molecule: long non-coding RNA, 2415 nt
Filed under: Musa acuminata (dwarf banana)
Lineage: Eukaryota; Viridiplantae; Streptophyta; Magnoliopsida; Zingiberales; Musaceae
Description: long non-coding RNA (MACU_LNC010180)
Source: RNAcentral
GCUGCGGUAGCUGCGGCAGCGGUGGUGGCUGCAGCAGCUGCUUUUGGGAAAGAGAAAGAAAGGAAAGGGAAAGAAGAAGAGGUUGCGGUUGCGGUGGUGGCGGCUGUAUCUGCGGCAGCUGUGUUUGGGAAAGAAAAAAGUAGGAACAAGAGAAGGGAGGAAGGAAGUAGUACAGUGGAAGGGGCUGCGGUUGUGACGGAAGGGGCGAUCGUGGCUACGACUGUGGUAGUGGUAGCGGCGAUGGCUGCGAUAGCUGCGUUUGAAAAAAAGAAAACGAAGGAAUGAGAGUAAGAGAGAGAAAGUGACUAUGCCUCUAUGUUCUGUAUGAGCUACAGUUGUGGAGGAAAAAAAGAAGACAUAUGUAGAAAACAAAACAGGAAGAGGACACGGAGGAAAAGUAGAAGGAUUUGGGCUGACACCGUCUUUGGAUCUUCGGAUCAAAAUCUUUGAAAGGCAAGUGUUUUGAUCCUUCAUAUUGCAAGUGUUCUGAUCCUUUCUAUUGCAAGUGUUUCGAUCCUUUUUAUUGCAAGUGUUUCGAUCCUUUCUAUUGCAAGUGUUCCAAUCCUUCCUAUUGCAAGCUUUCUAAUAUUUCCUAUUGCAAGUGUUCUGAUCCUUCCUAUUGCAAGUGUUCCGAUCCUUUCUAUUGCAAGUGUUAUAAUCCUUCCUAUUGCAAGUGUUCCGAUCCUUCCUAUUGCAAGCUUUCUAAUCUUUCAUAUUGCAAGUGUCUUAAUCUUUCCUUACUGUAAUUUUAUCUCUACAUUUACUUUGAAUAUGAGGAACUUUGAAUUGUUCUAGCCUUGCAUUUGAUAUAUCUUCUAUUUAGACGUAACGAUUUAAAUCUGUGCAACUUCUGAGAUUAUGACCUUUCUACAUUGUUAUGGUUAUAACUUCAUGUAUUGACCUCUGAUUUGGACAAACUUAUUUGAUCAGAAUAUAGACUCAUAAACCUUUCUUUUGAUAGCUUAUUUUAAGAAUUCGGAGUAAGUUUGUCUGCCCAAACUUCUGUUUCAAAUGAGCCAACAGAUUCUGCAAAACAGGGAUCGUAAUUUCUGACCUUUUGAUAUUGAACUGCCUAUAAGUCCCUGUUGGAAAUGUUGAUUUAUUCAAAGCUUAUUUCAUUAGAAACUAGACUCGUAGAUCAUUCUUUGAUACUUGGAUUGUAAGAUUUAGAGUCCAAAUGCUUGCCCAGUUUUUUGUUGAAUCCGACCUUGUGAAUUAUGUAAAAUUGAGAUUUGUUCUUCGAUCUUGGGUUACCAAAUCUAUUGUAACUCCUUGUUGGAAACCUUGAUUCAUACGAAACUUAUUUCAUCAGAAACUAGAUUGAAAUAUCUUUCCAAUGAUAAUAUCUUUCAAAUGAUAUAUUUUCUGAGGAAAAUUGGAGAACGAUUGAUAGUUUGAAUCAUUUAUUCAAUGUGCCUCUUGAAUUCUGUCAGAAAUCGAGCUUUGGUCGAUUUCAUAUAUUCUGGUUUCAUUCCUUUGGAAAUUGAUUUCAUCUAACCUUCUUAUUUGAAUUGAGCUAUAUGUGAUUGCUUUGAAUCCUUAUACACUCUUGUUUUCAUUUCCUUUCAAAUCUGAAUACAUUUGUGAAGGAUUAUGUUUGCAUCGUAUUGACUCAUAAAGGCACAUGUACAUUUCAUUGUUCCGCAUGUACUUUUGAUAUGUCCCAAUUUAUUGUUCACAAUACCCUUUUAUGCUCUAGUGUUUGUGGGAUUAUUUGGACCUUUGCCAGAAAUUGUAAAGGGUAUGUGCUUAGAGCCUGCGAUGCUCUAGAUUAUGUUUGGUGGUCAUUCAGAAAUGGAUGGACUAUAUUAUGUUUGGAAUCCCACUUCACCAUCUAUCUGUUUGAUAUGAAAUUCAGAGCCGACCUAGCACUUGGGCAGGGUGAGAGGGCUCGCGUAGGAAAGGGCUACCCGUGGAUGGAGUCGAGAACUCAUCACGGCGUGGAGCCACCACUGAGUUAAACCUCAUAUGCACUAUGCUAGGGUACGAUGUCUGAGCUUAUGUUUCGUAUUUUGUAUUGAUAUGCUCCAAAAUAUUUCCUAUGCCAUUGAUAUGCUUCAAAAUGCUUCACAUACCAUUAAUAUGUUCCGAAAUGUUCCAUUUGUCAUUGAUAUUCUCCGGAACAUCUUGUACGCUAUUGAUAUGCUCCAAUUACUCUAUGCUUCAUUGGUUAUGAACCAAAUAUGUUUUGAAUGAUAUGACACAUAUGAUUUUGUAUCUAAUAAGAUGGUAUCCUUGAGAAAUCUUGUAUUCUGUCUUGCAUUAUGAUAUCUUACUUGUUUGAAACCGUUCCUUUUGUUCUGAAUAUGCUUUGUCACUUGCUGAGUUGUUUUUAGCUCACUCCGUUGUUAUAUAAAUCUUUCAGGUCAAGUUGUCACUCUUUGAGAUGUUUUGAAUUGGGUUGAGGCAGCGGAG